Long non-coding RNA from Sander lucioperca (pikeperch), 213 nucleotides. RefSeq lists it as uncharacterized. The transcript is spliced from 2 exons. The record is from RefSeq and is a predicted model, not a curated record. Lineage: Eukaryota; Metazoa; Chordata; Actinopteri; Perciformes; Percidae.
AAACAAGCAGAUAUUCACAUUUGAGUUUACUUUUCUGUUAAUAUACUGAUUGAUGAAGCAAAUAAUCAUUGCAGCUUCAGUACCUAGAGCAGGGUGUCACUUUUUAAACCCUGUAAUGUACCAGUAGUUGUAUUCUCAAAAAGUAUUUUAUCAGCAUCAAAUGAUUUGUUCUACAUGAUUUUUAGUUGUGUAAUAAAUUUACAAGUACUGCUU